This is a long non-coding RNA of Cornus florida, 2655 nucleotides long. RefSeq lists it as uncharacterized. The transcript has 2 exons. NCBI's taxonomy places the organism in Eukaryota, Viridiplantae, Streptophyta, Magnoliopsida, Cornales, Cornaceae. The record is from RefSeq and is a predicted model, not a curated record.
CACCCCCCCCCCCCGAUUGAUUGGUAAACCUCUCGGGUCUCAUCUUAGGUUUGAUCUUUUCACUCUCACCCAUCUGUUAUUUCAUUUUAAUUUGUUGAUUUUUUGCUGGUUGCUGAUUUUUUAAUGUGAUGAUACGAAUAUCUAUAUAUUUGUUAAGGUUUCAAAAUUGCUAAAAGCCCUAACAAUCGAAGGGAGAAAUUAGAUAGAGAGCUUGUUGUUGAUUUAAUUUAUUUUAUUUUAUCGAUGCUCUAUUUUCUUUCUUCUGCUUGCAUGGGCGGCUAGACUAUUUUGUUUUGGAAUUGGAUGUAUGAAUUUGUUUAUCUAUUCUUGAAUGUUUGAAUGAUAUUAUAUGAUUUAUGGAUGCAUUUUUUUCAUGUUUGAUAUUAGUUUUUAAGAAUUUUGCUGAAGAGAAAGUCAUUUGUAAAUUCAUAUUUUUCUUUUAUUUUGAAUUCUGUAUUCUGUAAUCUCAAUGGACCUUAGGCAAUGUGUGGAGUAUAUAGUUAAUUAAUUAAUUAAUAAGACAUCAUCAUUCUAGAGUGAAUGUGAAGGUUGGGAAGUUAAUAGCUUCAGAUUAUUUUUUCCUCUAAUUCAUUUAUUAAUCUAAAAUGGACAUGGAAUUCACCAAGUCGACUAGAACCAUCACAAUUCCUAAUUAUUUGUCUCCAAUCUUGUAGGAUCUUAAGCAUAGCAAGAUAAUGUACUUGGUGUGAUUUGCUUGGGACAGCUGAGCUACAGCUUCUAAAAUAAGCAUAAUCUAUAUAUCAUGCAUUUUAAUUUAGCCCUUGGCUAGCUGAAACUUACAAGAGAUGUUAUCUGCUUUUGGGAUAGUGUCUGCUUUAUCCAUAAUGGGAUUUUGCUUUUUAAUUUUUUAUGAUCUUUAGUUAUAAACAAUCAGCUAAUUUUAAAAUUUGCUGAAAAACAAAUUGUUUGUUUGUUUUUAUUUUUUAUUAGCUAUUGUGAGACUAUUGAUCAAGUUGUGCUUAUUUGUCUCCAAUCUUGUAGGAUCUUAAGCAUAGCAAGAUAAUGUACUUGGUGUGAUUUGCUUGGGACAGCUGAGCUACAGCUUCUAAAAUAAGCAUAAUCUAUAUAUCAUGCAUUUUAAUUUAGCCCUUGGCUAUCUGAAACUUACAAGAGAUGUUAUCUGCUUUUGGGAUAGUGUCUGCUUUAUCCAUAAUGGGAUUUUGCUUUUUAAUUUUUUAUGAUCUUUAGUUAUAAACAAUCAGCUAAUUUUAAAAUUUGCUGAAAAACAAAUUGUUUGUUUGUUUUUAUUUUUUAUUAGCUAUUGUGAGACUAUUGAUCAAGUUGUGCUUUUUUAUAGUCACUGUCUCAGUGUCUUAGAUAGUUGAGACUAAUCAACACAUCUUACAACCAUUUUUGCUAUAUCUUUAUGCUUAUAAUGAACUUAUCCAAUUCAGACUCUCACUGUAAGGCUUCUUAUUAAAAAGCCCUAAAUUUACAUUAUGUGUUCAUAUCUACUUAAUUAUUUAAAAUUAUAAAUCUAAUUGUGCUUCUACAUAUUGGUGAUGUGUAAAGACUGUGUUUCAGUUCCAACAAAACGGGCCUUGUUAGGAACAUAUUGCAAAGAGCUUUUAGUUCCAAAGUUUGGAAUAACCUUUUUAUUUCAUUUUAUAAGAUAGAGGUUAGCUUUAAUGUGGGCCAUACAAUGAUUGAAAUGGUAGUUUUGGUCCUUCUAUUCUGUCAUUUGGUUAAAGAGAAUGGUUUAUAAAAACCCUGAUUAUAUAUAUAUAUAUAUAUAUAUAUAUAUGUUUAUGUAGUAUAUAUAGUUUUGUUGCUUUUUGAGGACAUUCUUUAGAUCCAUUAUGCGUCUAUAUCUUUUUUAUUUUUAUCUUUUUGAUGACAUGAACAUUGUUGUUUCAAAUCGGUAAUAUCUAAAUUUACCUAUUUUGGGAAGAAACAAAAUAAGGGGCUGAAUUAUGGAUAAUUUAGUAUGCUCUGUACUCUGCCCCUUGACUUCUAUGUAUCUCACUAAUAUAGUUUUUAUUUGAUAUAAAAUGCUAGGCUCAUUCUUGUAUUGGUUCUGCUUUUUAGGGGUGGAAAGUUCAAGUGAAAGUAAAAAAUUAAGACCUAUUAUACUUGUUUCAGUUUUUGUCCUUUUGAACUUUCUAAAACUUUAUAAUACUUUUCCGAAAUCAAAAUUGGAAAUGUUGAUUUUUUUGCUCUAAUCUUCUUGUUUAUUUUUUGAGAAAACGUUCCUUUACUAAAUUGAUUUGGAUUACUCUACGUUUUUGUUUAUAUACAUAUGAACUGGAGGCCAUGUACUUUGAUGAAGGCGUGAGAGAUGCAAAACGACAAGAAUUGGAGUCGAAAAUGUUGCAGCAUUCUGAAUUUGAGACUUGUGUGAUGCAACUACUUCCCUGGAUUUUGUACCGUGGAUUUUGCAGCUACUUCCUUGGAUUUUGUACAGUGAGGUGGUUUUUUGACAAGUGCAGACUGAAACUCAAGUGUUAGAAGGUUUAUCAAUUUUUUAACAGAAGUGUUAAGAAAUUGAUGAUUUUCUUGACAAAUGGAUUUAUUUCUUAUUUUGGAACAUUGUAAUUGUUGAAUUGUUUUGGCACAUUAAUAAAUGAUGAAUUGUAAAAAUGUUUUAACUUUUUUGAUAUAUUUAAUGGAAUAUGUAUGUUUUUUUGACUUGAA